This 298-nucleotide unclassified non-coding RNA is filed under the name Hevea brasiliensis (rubber tree). The record is from RNAcentral. Lineage: Eukaryota; Viridiplantae; Streptophyta; Magnoliopsida; Malpighiales; Euphorbiaceae.
GCUUUUUCCAAGAAGAGAAAAAACACAAGACAAAAAUAUAACUACAAAGAGAGUUGCACCAAGAAACAGAGAUGGGUAGACCACCUUGUUGUGAUAAAACGGGGGUGAAGAAAGGACCAUGGACUCCUGAAGAAGAUAUUAUGCUAGUCUCUUUUGUUCAAGAACAUGGUCCAGGGAAUUGGAGGACUGUUCCCACUCAUACAGGGCUACGGAGAUGUAGCAAAAGCUGCAGACUAAGGUGGACUAACUACCUCAGACCAGGAAUCAAGAGGGGUAGCUUCAGUGAUCAAGAGGAGAA